Molecule: transfer RNA, 72 nt
Filed under: Candidatus Omnitrophica bacterium 4484_49
Lineage: Bacteria; Pseudomonadati; Candidatus Omnitrophota
Also listed under: 2 other names
Description: tRNA-Gly
Rfam family: tRNA
About the family: Transfer RNA (tRNA) molecules are approximately 80 nucleotides in length.
Source: RNAcentral
GCGGGAGUAGCUCAGUGGUAGAGCACGACCUUGCCAAGGUUGGGGUCGCGGGUUCAAAUCCCGUCUCCCGCU